Molecule: ribosomal RNA, 2890 nt
Filed under: Acinetobacter baumannii 24845_6
Lineage: Bacteria; Pseudomonadati; Pseudomonadota; Gammaproteobacteria; Moraxellales; Moraxellaceae
Also listed under: 1 other name
Description: bacterial LSU rRNA
Rfam family: Bacterial large subunit ribosomal RNA
Source: RNAcentral
UCAAGUAAUUAAGUGCAUGUGGUGGAUGCCUUGGCAGUCAGAGGCGAUGAAAGACGUGAUAGCCUGCGAAAAGCUCCGGGGAGGCGGCAAAUAUCCUUUGAUCCGGAGAUGUCUGAAUGGGGGAACCCACCUACUUUAAGGUAGGUAUUGCAACAUGAAUACAUAGUGUUGCAAGGCGAACGAGGGGAAGUGAAACAUCUCAGUACCCUUAGGAAAAGAAAUCAAUUGAGAUUCCCUCAGUAGCGGCGAGCGAACGGGGAUCAGCCCAUUAAGUUAUGUGUGUUUUAGUGGAACGCUCUGGGAAGUGCGAACGUAGAGGGUGAUAUUCCCGUACACGAAAGGGCACACAUAAUGAUGACGAGUAGGGCGAGGCACGUGAAACCUUGUCUGAAUAUGGGGGGACCAUCCUCCAAGGCUAAAUACUCCUGACUGACCGAUAGUGAACCAGUACCGUGAGGGAAAGGCGAAAAGAACCCCUGUGAGGGGAGUGAAAUAGAUCCUGAAACCGCAUGCAUACAAGCAGUGGGAGCACCUUCGUGGUGUGACUGCGUACCUUUUGUAUAAUGGGUCAGCGACUUAUAUUCAGUAGCGAGGUUAACCGUAUAGGGGAGCCGUAGAGAAAUCGAGUCUUAAUAGGGCGUUUAGUUGCUGGGUAUAGACCCGAAACCAGGCGAUCUAUCCAUGAGCAGGUUGAAGGUUGGGUAACACUAACUGGAGGACCGAACCCACUGUCGUUGAAAAGCCAGGGGAUGACUUGUGGAUAGGGGUGAAAGGCUAAUCAAGCCUGGUGAUAGCUGGUUCUCCCCGAAAGCUAUUUAGGUAGCGCCUCGGACGAAUACCAUAGGGGGUAGAGCACUGUUUCGGCUAGGGGGUCAUCCCGACUUACCAAACCGAUGCAAACUCCGAAUACCUAUGAGUACUAUCCGGGAGACAGACUGCGGGUGCUAACGUCCGUAGUCAAGAGGAAAACAAUCCAGACCGCCAGCUAAGGCCCCAAAAUCAUAGUUAAGUGGGAAACGAUGUGGGAAGGCAUAGACAGCUAGGAGGUUGGCUUAGAAGCAGCCACCCUUUAAAGAAAGCGUAAUAGCUCACUAGUCGAGUCGGCCUGCGCGGAAGAUGUAACGGGGCUAAAACUAUGUGCCGAAGCUGCGGAUGUAUACUUUGUAUACGUGGUAGGGGAGCGUUCUGUAAGCCGAUGAAGGUGUGUUGAGAAGCAUGCUGGAGGUAUCAGAAGUGCGAAUGCUGACGUGAGUAACGACAAAACGGGUGAAAAACCCGUUCGCCGAAAGACCAAGGGUUCCAGUCCAACGUUAAUCGGGGCUGGGUGAGUCGACCCCUAAGGCGAGGCCGAAAGGCGUAGUCGAUGGGAAAAUGGUUAAUAUUCCAUUACUUCUGUGUAAUGCGAUGAGAGGACGGAGAAGGCUAAAUCAGCCUGGCGUUGGUUGUCCAGGUGAAAGGAUGUAGGCAUGUAUCUUAGGCAAAUCCGGGGUACUCUAUGCUGAGAUCUGAUAGCAAGCUGUACUUGUACAGCGAAGUGGUUGAUGCCAUGCUUCCAGGAAAAGUCUCUAAGCUUCAGUUACACAGGAAUCGUACCCGAAACCGACACAGGUGGUCAGGUCGAGUAGACCAAGGCGCUUGAGAGAACUCUGCUGAAGGAACUAGGCAAAAUGGUACCGUAACUUCGGGAGAAGGUACGCUGUUGUUGGUGAUGGAACUCGCUUCCUGAGCUGACGACAGCCGCAGAAACCAGGCCGCUGCAACUGUUUAUUAAAAACAUAGCACUCUGCAAACACGAAAGUGGACGUAUAGGGUGUGAUGCCUGCCCGGUGCUGGAAGGUUAAUUGAUGGGGUUAGCGUAAGCGAAGCUCUUGAUCGAAGCCCCAGUAAACGGCGGCCGUAACUAUAACGGUCCUAAGGUAGCGAAAUUCCUUGUCGGGUAAGUUCCGACCUGCACGAAUGGCAUAAUGAUGGCGGCGCUGUCUCCAGCAGAGGCUCAGUGAAAUCGAAAUCGCUGUGAAGAUGCAGUGUACCCGCGGCUAGACGGAAAGACCCCGUGAACCUUUACUGCAGCUUGACACUGAACUUUGACCUUACUUGUGUAGGAUAGGUGGGAGGCUUUGAAGCUGGAACGCUAGUUCCAGUGGAGCCGUCCUUGAAAUACCACCCUGGUAAUGUUGAGGUUCUAACUCUGUCCCGUGAUCCGGGACGAGGACCGUGUCUGGUGGGUAGUUUGACUGGGGCGGUCUCCUCCUAAAGAGUAACGGAGGAGUACGAAGGUGCGCUCAGCGUGGUCGGAAAUCACGCGUAGAGUAUAAAGGCAAAAGCGCGCUUAACUGCGAGACCCACAAGUCGAGCAGGUACGAAAGUAGGUCUUAGUGAUCCGGUGGUUCUGUAUGGAAGGGCCAUCGCUCAACGGAUAAAAGGUACUCUGGGGAUAACAGGCUAUACCGCCCAAGAGUUCAUAUCGACGGCGGUGUUUGGCACCUCGAUGUCGGCUCAUCUCAUCCUGGGGCUGAAGCAGGUCCCAAGGGUAUGGCUGUUCGCCAUUUAAAGAGGUACGCGAGCUGGGUUUAGAACGUCGUGAGACAGUUCGGUCCCUAUCUACCGUGGGCGCUGGAAAUUUGAGAGGAUCUGCUCCUAGUACGAGAGGACCAGAGUGGACGAACCUCUGGUGUACCGGUUGUGACGCCAGUCGCAUCGCCGGGUAGCUAUGUUCGGAAGGGAUAACCGCUGAAAGCAUCUAAGCGGGAAGCCUACCUCAAGAUAAGAUUUCCCUAGGACUUUAUGUCCUCUAAAGAGCCGUUCGAGACUAGGACGUUGAUAGGUUGGAUGUGGAAGCAUAGUGAUAUGUGAAGCUGACCAAUACUAAUUGCUCGUGAGGCUUGACUAU